AGUGAACGCUGGCGGUAGGCCUAACACAUGCAAGUCGAACGGCAGCACAGUAAGAGCUUGCUCUUACGGGUGGCGCGUGGCGGACGGGUGAGGAAUACAUCGGAAUCUACUUUUUCGUGGGGGAUAACGUAGGGAAACUUACGCUAAUACCGCAUACGACCUACGGGUGAAAGCAGGGGAUCUUCGGACCUUGCGCGAUUGAAUGAGCCGAUGUCGGAUUAGCUAGUUGGCGGGGUAAAGGCCCACCAAGGCGACGAUCCGUAGCUGGUCUGAGAGGAUGAUCAGCCACACUGGAACUGAGACACGGUCCCGACUCCUACGUGAGGCAGCAGUGUGGAAUAUUGGACAAUGGGCGCAAGCCUGAUCCAGCCAUACCGCGUGUGUGAAGAAGGCCUUCGGGUUGUAAAGCCCUUUUGUUGGGAAAGAAAAGCAGCAGGUUAAUACCCCGCUGUUCUGACGGUACCCAAAGAAUAAGCACCGGCUAACUUCGUG
This 492-nucleotide ribosomal RNA is filed under the name uncultured bacterium. Its description in RNAcentral is "partial 16S ribosomal RNA". It matches the Rfam family "Bacterial small subunit ribosomal RNA", at positions 29 to 507 of the family's 1533-position model. The record is from RNAcentral.